This 379-nucleotide ribosomal RNA is filed under the name uncultured eukaryote. Its description in RNAcentral is "partial 18S ribosomal RNA". It matches the Rfam family "Eukaryotic small subunit ribosomal RNA", at positions 592 to 976 of the family's 1831-position model. The record is from RNAcentral.
CAAUAGCGUAUAUUAAAGUUGUUGCGGUUAAAAAGCUCGUAGUUGGAUUUCUGCUGAGGACGAUCGGUCCGCCCACUGGGUGAGUAUCUGGCUCGGCCUUGGCAUCUUCUUGGAGAACGUUCUGCACUUGACUGUGUGGGGCGGUAUCCAGGACUUUUACUUUGAGGAAAUUAGAGUGUUUCAAGCAGGCGCACGCCUUGAAUACAUUAGCAUGGAAUAAUAAGAUAGGACCUUAGUUCUAUUUUGUUGGUUUCUAGAGCUGAGGUAAUGAUUAAUAGGGAUAGUUGGGGGCAUUCGUAUUUAACUGUCAGAGGUGAAAUUCUUGGAUUUGUUCAAGACGAACUAAUGCGAAAGCAUCUACCAAGGAUGUUUUCAUUAA